RNAcentral lists this ribosomal RNA (432 nucleotides) under uncultured bacterium. RNAcentral's name for it is "bacterial SSU rRNA". It matches the Rfam family "Bacterial small subunit ribosomal RNA", at positions 29 to 506 of the family's 1533-position model. The record is from RNAcentral.
AACGAACGCUGGCGGCAGGCCUAACACAUGCAAGUCGAACGCCGUAGCAAUACGGAGUGGCAGACGGGUGAGUAACACGUGGGAACGUACCUUUCGGUUCGGAAUAACCCAGGGAAACUUGGGCUAAUACCGGAUACGUGCGAGAGCAGAAAGAUUUAUCGCCGAAAGAUCGGCCCGCGUCCGAUUAGCUAGUUGGUGAGGUAAUGGCUCACCAAGGCGACGAUCGGUAGCUGGUCUGAGAGGAUGAUCAGCCACACUGGGACUGAGACACGGCCCAGACUCCUACGGGAGGCAGCAGUGGGGAAUAUUGGACAAUGGGCGCAAGCCUGAUCCAGCCAUGCCGCGUGAGUGAUGAAGGCCCUAGGGUUGUAAAGCUCUUUCGCCAGGGACGAUAAUGACGGUACCUGGAUAAGAAGCCCCGGCUAACUUCGU